RNAcentral lists this ribosomal RNA (2743 nucleotides) under Isochrysis galbana. RNAcentral describes it as "partial Bacterial large subunit ribosomal RNA". It matches the Rfam family "Bacterial large subunit ribosomal RNA". Lineage: Eukaryota; Haptophyta; Isochrysidales; Isochrysidaceae. The record is from RNAcentral.
UCAAGCGAAAAAGAGCUUACGGCGGAUACCUUGGUGUUCAGAAGCGAUGAAGGGCGUGGCUACCAACGAAAUAUCUCGGGGAACUGGAAGCAAGUUUUGAUCCGAGAAUUCCCGAAUAAGGAAACUUUUAAAACUACUUCUUGAAUUCAUAAAGAAGAAAGAGCAAACCUAGUGAAUUGAAACAUCUUAGUAACUAGAGGAAAAGAAAGCAAAAGCGAUUCCCUAAGUAGCGGCGAGCGAAAUGGGACCAGUCUAAACUCUAGUUAUAGAGGGUUGAGGGACAGUCAAUAAUAAAUUGCAAGCGUUAGUUGAAACAGUUGGAAUACUGUACCACAGAGGGUGAAAGUCCCGUAGUCAAAAAUUUUAGCAGCUUAUAACUGUAUCCCAAGUAGGGAGAGACACGUGAAACCUCUUCUGAAUUUGCGAGGACCACCUCGUAAGACUAAAUAUUCCUGAAUAACCGAUAGUGAACCAGUACCGUGAGGGAAAGGUGAAAAGAACCCCGGGAGGGGAGUGAAAUAGAACAUGAAACCGUAAGUUUACAAGCAGUAGAAGAGCGACUUAACGCUCGACUUCGUGCCUGUUGAAGAAUGAGCUGGCGACUUGUAGGUUGUGGCAAGGUUAAGGUAAGAAAAUACUGGAGCCAGAGUGAAAGCGAGCUUGAUAAGAGCGUUAAGUCACAGUUUACAGACCCGAACCCGGAUGAUCUAACCAUGGCCAGUGUGAAGCUUAGGUAACACUAAGUAGAGGUACGAACCGACUGUUGUUGAAAAAACAGCGGAUGAGUUGUGGUUAGGGGUGAAAUUCCAAUCGAAUCCGGAGCUAGCUGGAUCUCCCCGAAAUGCGUUGAGGCGCAGCGACUAAUGUUUCUUCUUAGGGGUAAAGCUACUGUUUUGGUGCGGGCUGCGAGAGCGGUACCAAAUCAAUGCAAACUCUGAAUACUAAGACGUUUAAUUAGUUAGUGAGAUAUUGGGGGAUAAGCUUCAAUAUCAAGAGGGAAACAGCCCAGAUUAUCAGUUAAGGCCCCUAAAUAAUUACUAAGUGGCAAAGGAGGUGGGAGUGCAUAGACAAUCAGGAGGUUUGCUUAGAAGCAGCAAUCCUUUAAAGAGUGCGUAAUAGCUCACUGUUCGAGUGCUCCUGCGCCGAAAAUGAAUGGGACUAAGUAAUUUGCCGAAGCUGUAAGAUGUUUUAACAUCGGUAGGGGAGCGUUCUACAUUAGAUUGAAGCGUUAGCGAAAGCGGGCGUGGACAAAGUAGAAGUGAGAAUGUUAGCUUGAGUAGCGAAAACAUUGGUGAGAAUCCAAUGCCCCGAAAACCCAAGGGUUCCUCCGGAAGGCUCGUCCGCGGAGGGUGAGUCAGGUCCUAAGGUGAGGCUAGUAGCGUAAUCGAUGGAUAACAGGUUAAUAUUCCUGUACUGUUUAUUGUUGGUAAAGGGGGACGGAGAAGGCUAAAUCGACCGAAUGUUGGUUAUCGGCUUAAGUACUCGAGGUAAUGAGAAUUGGUGAAAACAAUUUGAGCUGAGAUACGAAUAGGAAAGUGUUAAGACACUGAACCGAUUGAUGUCAUACUUCCAAGAAAAGCCCUAUCUACCAUAAACAAUAAAUACCUGUACCCGAAACCGACACAGGUGGGUAAGUAGAGAAUACUAAGGGGCGCGAGAUAACUCUCUCUAAGGAACUCGGCAAAAUGGCCUCGUAACUUCGGGAGAAGAGGUGCCUUUAAAAAGGCUGCAAUAACCAGACGCUGGCGACUGUUUAUCAAAAACACAAGUCUCCGCAAAGUCGUAAGACGAUAUAUGGGGGCUGACACCUGCCCAGUGCCGGAAGGUUAAGGAAGCUUGUUAGUCUUUGACGAAGCUCGCGACCGAAGCCCCGGUGAACGGCGGCCGUAACAAUAACGGUCCUAAGGUAGCGAAAUUCCUUGUCGGGUAAGUUCCGACCUGCACGAAUGGCGUAACGACUUCCCCACUGUCUCCAGCAUCGACUCAGCGAAAUUGAAUUGCCCGUGAAGAUGCGGGCUACCCGCGGUUAGACGGAAAGACCCCGUGCACCUUUACUACAGCUUUACAUUGGCAUUAGUGACGACAUGUGUAGGAUAGGUGGUAGACUUUGAAGCCCGGGCGCUAGCUCGAGUGGAGUCACCCUUGAAAUACCACCCUUGUCCUUAUUGAUGUCUAACCACGGCGCUACAACGCCUGGGACAAUGUAUGGUGGGUAGUUUGACUGGGGCGGUCGCCUCCCAAAGAGUAACGGAGGCGCGCGAUGGUAGGCUCAGGCUGGUCGGAAACCAGCUGUAGAGUGCAAUGGCAUAAGCCUGCCUGACUGCGAGACUGACAAGUCGAGCAGAGACGAAAGUCGGUCAUAGUGAUCCGGUGGUCCCGCGUGGAAGGGCCAUCGCUCAACGGAUAAAAGGUACGCCGGGGAUAACAGGCUGAUGAUGCCCAAGAGUCCAUAUCGACGGCAUGGUUUGGCACCUCGAUGUCGGCUCGUCGCAUCCUGGGGCUGGAGUAGGUCCCAAGGGUUGGGCUGUUCGCCCAUUAAAGUGGCACGCGAGCUGGGUUCAGAACGUCGUGAGACAGUUCGGUCCCUAUCUGCCGUGGGUGUAGGAGAAUUGAGUGGAGUUGCCCCUAGUACGAGAGGACCGGGGUGGACGUACCUCUGGUGGACCAGUUGUCGUGCCAACGGCACAGCUGGGUAGCUAUGUACGGACUGGAUAACCGCUGAAAGCAUCUAAGCGGGAAGCCC